GCCGCGUUAGCUCAGAUGGCAGAGCAUCGCUCUUGUAAAGCGAAUGUCGAGAGUUCGAUUCUCUCACGCGGCUC
RNAcentral lists this transfer RNA (74 nucleotides) under Nocardioides psychrotolerans. Its description in RNAcentral is "tRNA-Thr". It matches the Rfam family "tRNA". Rfam says of the family: Transfer RNA (tRNA) molecules are approximately 80 nucleotides in length. Their secondary structure includes four short double-helical elements and three loops (D, anti-codon, and T loops). Lineage: Bacteria; Bacillati; Actinomycetota; Actinomycetes; Propionibacteriales; Nocardioidaceae. The record is from RNAcentral. RNAcentral also lists the same sequence under 1 other name.